GACGAACCACACAAACGUUAUUCGGAAUUACUGGGCUUAAAGGGUGCGUAGGCGGCGCGGAAAGUAGGGUGUGAAAUCCCUCGGCUCAACCGAGGAAUAGCGCCCUAAACUACCGUGCUCGAGGGAGAUAGAGGUGAGCGGAACUUAGGGUGGAGCGGUGAAAUGCGUUGAUAUCCUAAGGAACACCGGUGGCGAAAGCGGCUCACUGGAUCUCUUCUGACGCUGAGGCACGAAAGCUAGGGUAGCGAACGG
Molecule: ribosomal RNA, 252 nt
Filed under: uncultured bacterium
Lineage: Bacteria
Description: partial 16S ribosomal RNA
Rfam family: Bacterial small subunit ribosomal RNA
Source: RNAcentral